UGUGAAUGAACCUCAACAGCAAAAAGAGUGAUUCUAGCAUUAUGCACACUAACAUAUUGCAGCAUCUAAAAGAUUUUGAGACAAGGAUGGCAGCACUUACUGAAGCGACUGUGAUCCGCAUUGCAAUGAACAGAGAGAGAGAGCAGUGAAAAAUACCUCUUUCAAUAUAAACCAGAAACCGUUCAAUGCGUGCAAAUGACUGAUCAAUAUCAAAUAUCCCAGAGGGCAACGUGACAUAUAAGAUAAUUCAUAAUUAAUUUCUACAGCCUGUGAAACUGGAUUCUACAUUCUCGACUGGCGCUUCCAUCACUUCAUAUUUUUAAUUUCAGCUGUGAGCUGUUUGAAGAUGCGUCUUAACAGAGAUUUACGGCAGACAGCAUAUCCUCAAAUCUUCCUGAUGAGAUGAGCUGUAAUUCGCAAACAGUGACGGUGUAAUAAUCCCACUCUUGUCAGAUAUGUUAACCGGAGCAUGUCAACCAUCAGAACCCCUCCGCACCUCCAGUCCUGCGAGAUAAAAGGGCCUUGUGCAAACUUAUGGCUGUAUGCAUCAUUUUGACUUGAUCAGACCUGCCGCGGUUUACAGAGAGCUGAGGAAAUGAUUCCAGAAACACAGAACAGCGGUCAGUUCAUGCAAUGUUUUGCUGGUCUGAACAGUCAGAACAAGCAUAAAGCAGGUUUUAAAGGAGCGCUUUGUUACUUUGUCAGACAGAAAGUGAAACUGUGUUCUGCUGUUCUUUUUUCGCUGACAGGUUUUUCCGUGGUAAGACAGCAACAGGUCAGUAAAUAGUUGUUGAAAUGUCAUCAGCCGAAGAGAGUAUUGAGUUUUGAAAACAGACUCUCCAGUCUAGACAAGCAAUCGCCCCAGUUUCUGAGUCGUCCUGCUCCUUAAUGAUGUCUAAUGGUGAUUCUCCCUCUCCCCGAUGAGACCACAUGCCUCAGCUUUCUUCUUCAUUUUGAUUGUUUCUUUCUUCUCUCCAUUCUCAGCAUUUUCCCCGUGCGGUGAGAAAGCCUUGUGGACUCAUUAAGAGUGUAGUUGACCUCAGUGUCUCGCUCCGUCUCUCUCUCUCAUAUUCUCUUCUCUUUUUGCCCCCAUUUGUUGUUUUGUUCUUUUUCAUAAUCUAAACUGAGGAAUGAAUAUACAGCCCAGAGCUGCUCCGGAAAAAUCCCCAAAGGCUUCAUAAAUGUGACAUAAGGGCCAAAGAACACUGGUGAUGUACUGAAAAAACACUGGCUAAUCUAUGAAAUAUACUGUUUCUUAAUUUUAUUAUAUACAGACUGGUGGCCAAAAGUUUUGAGUAAUUAAGAUUUUUAAAUGUUUUUGAAAGAAGUCUCGUCUGCUCACCAGGGCUGCAGUUAUUUGUUUAAAAAUACAGAGAAAAUUGUAAAAUAUUAUUAAAGUUUAAAACAGCUGUUUUCUAUGUGAAUCUCUGUUAAAGUGUAAUUUAUUUCUGUGAUGCGAAGCUGUAUUUUCAGCAUCAUUACUCCAGUCUUCAGUGUCACAUGAUCUUCAGAAAUCAUUCUAAUAUGAUGAGCUGCUGCUCAAGAAACAUUUCUGAUUAUUAUCAAUGUUGAACACAGUUGUAUUGCACAAUAUUUUUGUGGAAACUGUGAUAAAUUUAAUUUUUCGGGAUUAUUUGAUGAAUAAAAAAUUCAAAAGAACAGCAUUUAUUCGAAAUAAAAA
Molecule: long non-coding RNA, 1681 nt
Organism: Cyprinus carpio carpio
Lineage: Eukaryota; Metazoa; Chordata; Actinopteri; Cypriniformes; Cyprinidae
Source: Ensembl